RNAcentral lists this small RNA (608 nucleotides) under Arabidopsis thaliana (thale cress). RNAcentral's name for it is "ATSL055230". The record is from RNAcentral. Lineage: Eukaryota; Viridiplantae; Streptophyta; Magnoliopsida; Brassicales; Brassicaceae.
AAGAAAACUAAAGAUUAUCAAUAAAUUCUAAAACAAUUGAAUAAAUGUUAGUGAUGUUAGCCCAAAAGAGUUUAGAUCUAAGAGGCUACUGAAAGUAAGAGCAAGACGGCUACUUUAGGUAAUGUUUUGAGUGAACUUUGCUUUGUAUUAUUUCACUUAAUCUUUAGGUUACAACAUGGUUCCCUUUUAUAGCUAAACAAUGCUAGGGUUUCAAUGAUUGUAAACUGACAGCUGUCUCUGUCUUAUCAAGCUUCGGAGGUCACCAAACAACCAAAUCUGUUCUUUGUGUUGAUUGGAUCCGUACAGACGCUCCUCUUCUCUGUCUUCACUCUGAUUUGUUUUCUUGCACAGGUGGUGGUCUUGUCUGUUGAGAAGAGGAAGAACACUUGUUGGGCUUCGUUGUUGUGUUGGUUGUGUUGUCAUUGGGCCUGUUUGGUGAGUGGCCCAAUAACCAUUUUCCUUUGUUAAGCUGAGCGACGUCGUUUUCUUUCUUUGACUCUUUAGCUGAACUUGAGCUCUGCUUCGAUCUCAUUUCAGAUCUUGGAGCUGUUGAUGGCGGAGCAGUGGAGCUCUUGCUAAUAGCUACUACAACUAACCAUAAGUGAAAA